This 460-nucleotide ribosomal RNA is filed under the name uncultured bacterium. RNAcentral's name for it is "partial 16S ribosomal RNA". It matches the Rfam family "Bacterial small subunit ribosomal RNA", at positions 338 to 795 of the family's 1533-position model. The record is from RNAcentral.
CCUACGGGAGGCAGCAGUGGGGAAUAUUGCGCAAUGGGCGAAAGCCUGACGCAGCGACGCCGCGUGAGGGUUGACUGCCCUAUGGGUUGUAAACUUCUUUUAUAUGGGAAUAAAGUGCAGUAUGUAUACUGCUUUGCAUGUACCUUAUGAAUAAGGAUCGGCUAACUCCGUGCCAGCAGCCGCGGUAAUACGGAGGAUCCGAGCGUUAUCCGGAUUUAUUGGGUUUAAAGGGAGCGUAGGCGGGUUGUUAAGUCAGUUGUGAAAGUUUGCGGCUCAACCGGAAAAUUGCAGUUGAUACUGGCAUCCUUGAGUACAGUAGAGGUAGGCGGAAUUCGUGGUGUAGCGGUGAAAUGCUUAGAUAUCACGAAGAACUCCGAUUGCGAAGGCAGCCUGCUGGACUGUAACUGACGCUGAUGCUCGAAAGUGUGGGUAUCAAACAGGAUUAGAUACCCCAGUAGUC